Molecule: ribosomal RNA, 367 nt
Filed under: Coriandrum sativum (coriander)
Lineage: Eukaryota; Viridiplantae; Streptophyta; Magnoliopsida; Apiales; Apiaceae
Description: eukaryotic LSU rRNA
Rfam family: 5.8S ribosomal RNA (bases 1-92)
Source: RNAcentral
GUGUGAAUUGCAGAAUCCCGUGAACCAUCGAGUCUUUGAACGCAAGUUGCGCCCGAAGCCACUAGGCCGAGGGCACGUCUGCCUGGGUGUCACGCAUUGUCUUGCCCACAACCACCCACUCCUUGAGGAGUUGUGUUGGUUUGGGGGCGGAAACUGGCCUCCCGUGCCUUGUCGCGCGGUUGGCGGAAAAUCGAGUCUCCGACGACGGAUGUCGUGACAUCGGUGGUUGUAAAAGGCCCUCUUGUCUUGUCACGCGAAUCCUAGUCAUCUUAGCGAGCUCCAGGACCCUUAGGCGCACACACUCUGUGCGCUUUGAUUGUGACCCCAGGUCAGGCGGGACUACCCGCUGAGUUUAAGCAUAUCAAUA